AACAUCUCUCUUUGUUUUAAUUAAAUAAAGAGUUGAGCCUGCUCGGUGAUUUAAAUUUAACAGCUGCGGUAUUUUAACUGUACUAAGGUAGCAUAAUAAUUUGCCUUAUAAAUUGAGGCUAGAAUGAAAGGUUUGACGAAGGUUUAUCUGUCUCUAUUUUAUUUAUUAGAAAUUAAUUUUUUAGUGAGAAAGCUAAAAUUUUUUAAAGGGACGAGAAGACCCUAUUGAGCUUAAAUUUAAAAGUAUUAUAGUAAUUUUUUUAAUAUUUUGAUAAAUUUUAAUUGGGGUGAUUAAGGAAUAAAAGGAUAAUAAAUUGGUAACUUCCUUAAACUUAAUACUAUUAGGUUAAGUAACCAAUAAUAUUGCUUAUAAUAAAGUUACCAUAGGGAUAACAGCGUAAUUUACUUAGAGAGUUCUUAUUGAAAAGUGAGAUUGCGACCUGCGAUGUUGGAUUAAAGUAACCUUAAGGUGCAGUAGCUUUAAAAGGUAAAUCUGUUCGAUUUUUAAAACUUUACGU
This 517-nucleotide ribosomal RNA is filed under the name Acanthosepion aculeatum. Its description in RNAcentral is "partial 16S rRNA". It matches the Rfam family "Bacterial large subunit ribosomal RNA", at positions 1812 to 2601 of the family's 2925-position model. Lineage: Eukaryota; Metazoa; Mollusca; Cephalopoda; Sepiida; Sepiidae. The record is from RNAcentral.